CUAUGGCCAACAGAACAAAACAGAGGGGGCUGGAUAUGAAGAAGACUCUUACGAUGCGAAACCGUGAAGAGAGAGAUGCCAGCUUGUCGACAGUACUGGUACAUGCCAUCUUCAACGUCAACACUAACUGCACUGGUGCAUUCGUCUAGGAUGGCAAACUGAGGCUUGUGGUAGAAUAGACGUGCCAUCUGCAAAGCAACAUCAUAUCAAAACUGCAAUGCUGUAAUUAUCAAUAUACAGAUAAGACGUCCAUCCAAUCGGCAAUUGCAUCCCAUCCGCCCUCUCUAUCCAGAAUGUGUGAGAGCUGAACACGACCAAGAAGCUCUCUCAAGUCAUUAUCCGUGUACCCACGGCCUAUCAUAUCAGAAUAUGAAUCUGGAUUAAAAGAUGUUCUCACCUCUCCAAGAAUCCUGAAGAGAGAAGACUUGCCACAACCAUUGGGGCCACAGACAAGGACAUUCAUGCCAGAUUUGACCUCAAAAUUUAGCUCCUUAACCAAGACAUCUCCAUUAGGAGUUA
This is a long non-coding RNA of Cherax quadricarinatus, 519 nucleotides long. RefSeq lists it as uncharacterized. The record is from RefSeq and is a predicted model, not a curated record. NCBI's taxonomy places the organism in Eukaryota, Metazoa, Arthropoda, Malacostraca, Decapoda, Parastacidae.